GAUGAAGAACGUAGUGAAAUGCGAUAAGUAAUGUGAAUUGCAGAAUUCAGUGAAUCAUCGAAUCUUUGAACGCACAUUGCGCCCCCUGGCAUUCCGGGGGGCAUGCCUGUUCGAGCGUCAUUACAACCCUCAAGCUCUGCUUGGUAUUGGGCUCUGCUGGGACCGGCAGGCCUUAAAAUCAGUGGCGGCGCCACUCGGCUUCAAGCGUAGUAAUUCUUCUCGCUUCGGAGACCCGGGUGCGUGCUAGCCAGCAACCCCCAACUUUCUUAGGUUGACCUCGGAUCAGGUAGGGAUACCCGCUGAACUUAAGCAUAUCAAAAGCGGAGGA
This 328-nucleotide unclassified non-coding RNA is filed under the name soil metagenome. RNAcentral's name for it is "partial contains 5.8S ribosomal RNA, internal transcribed spacer 2, and large subunit ribosomal RNA". The stretch from base 1 to 120 matches the Rfam family "5.8S ribosomal RNA", at positions 35 to 154 of the family's 154-position model. The record is from RNAcentral.